This is a long non-coding RNA of Culex pipiens pallens (northern house mosquito), 274 nucleotides long. RefSeq lists it as uncharacterized. The record is from RefSeq and is a predicted model, not a curated record. NCBI's taxonomy places the organism in Eukaryota, Metazoa, Arthropoda, Insecta, Diptera, Culicidae. The transcript is spliced from 3 exons.
CAUCUGCUGUCCAGGAGGAUACCAAGGAACGAUCGGGUUUGGAUAUUGCCACGGAGCGAAGUAAUAACCAGGGAAGAGUGUUUGCAGCCGAUGUUGUCUGUGGAGUACUACCAGUGCUUGGAUUGGAAUUCUGCUGAGGGGCCGUUGCAUCAUAGGAUCCGCGGGCGGAUUCUGCGUCGAUGUCGAUGGGAGUUGUAUCUCGUGGACCUGGGAACUGGUGUUGCCAGGGGUUGACGUUAAAGGCAGAGGAGCAUCCUGGGCUUGAGCAUCUACA